UAAGACGAAGGUGGCGAGCGUUACUCGGAAUUACUAGGCGUAAAGCGUGGGUAGGCGGUCCGGCAAGUCUGUUGUGAAAGCUCCCGGCUCAACUGGGAGAGGCCAAUGGAUACUACCGGACUUGAAUGUGGGAGAGGUCACUGGAAUUCCCGGUGUAGCGGUGAAAUGCGUAGAGAUCGGGAGGAACACCGAUGGCGAAAGCAGGUGACUGGACCACUAUUGACGCUGAGCCACGAAAGCUAGGGGAGCAAACAGGAUUAGAUACCCUGGUAGUCCUAGCCGUAAACUAUGUUCACCAGAUGUGGGAGGUAUCGACCCCUUCCGCGUCGACGCUAACGCAUUAAGUGAACCGCCUGGGGAGUACGGCCGCAAGGUUG
RNAcentral lists this ribosomal RNA (377 nucleotides) under uncultured bacterium. Its description in RNAcentral is "bacterial SSU rRNA". It matches the Rfam family "Bacterial small subunit ribosomal RNA", at positions 521 to 896 of the family's 1533-position model. The record is from RNAcentral.